CUUUAAUAUUAAAAUUACAAUCGAUAUUGUAACGCUUUCACAUAUUUUUUUAUUAACGAUCUAAUUAUCAUUGACUAUUCAAAUAGUAUCAGUAAUAAAUAAAUAACAUAUUCGCACAAGAAUUUUUAUUAUUAGCAUAACAUAAAUUUAAUCAUGUGCCAAAGUGCAACAGCAGCGCCAUCUACUCGGAAGAUCGAACUUGAGAACAAAAGGAUCGCGAUUGGACGAUUGAAAAGAAAGAGAGAAGGUAAAAAAAAUCAAUAGAAUACAUAUUGCAUGAAUUAAGCUAUCCUCGAUCCUCGUAGAUUUUGAAUCGUUCUCCUUCCAUCCUCGGUGUUUCACGGGCGGAAAUAUCGGGACAAAACGAUGAAAUCUCUUUCCCGGAUACGAAACAAAUAUCGAUACUGGUGCUGGAUACCGUGAGAUAUCUUUUCAUUCGGGAAUUUAGGUUUUCUAGGUUUGUUGAACGAUAGGGAAAACGAUGUUGUACAUCCAAACCGAGAUAGAUGAAAAAUUGAUAGAAACGUGAAACAACGCUGGCUAUACAGGAUGUUGUUCCAGUUUUUAAAAUAGCUUUUGCCCGAAAUAAUAAUUGUGAAGUAAAAAAAAAAUCUUUAUUAAUGAGCCGUAGCAAAAAUACGAGACACGUAAUUUUUGAAAUCAUCUUAACUAGUAUUCUCUGCAUUAUUAUUCUCUGUUAACUGUAUUUUAUUAAUUGCAAUUGUUUUGGUGUAAUAUAAAUCUUUAACAAGCUUUACAUAAAAGAAUCAUCUCGAAAAUUUUUUCUUCUUCUCCUUGUUCUUAUUUCUUCGCGAGAUUCCAUGGAAAUAUUUUAAACCUUUUCUCUUUUACUUUCUCAUUCAGGAAAGAUUUUAUCGGAGGGGGAAAAAGAAAAAAAAGAAAAAGAGGAUUCGAGAUGAAAGUGCUCAAAAUCAUACUCGAUUCUAACCAGUUGUUGCUGCUUUUGUUGGCUCGCUUCGUAAGAGAGCUUCGUUAUUUCGUUUCCCUUCUGCCCUUACCUUGUUCCUGCUGUUUUCUUCUCCACUGGCAAUGGACCUGCUGAAUUAUGUAUGACUGACGGUAAAAGUUCUCUCCGCUGGAGAGAUUGGCAGAAUUUCGGCAGAGAACCACUCGGAUCGAAGAGGAUUGGUUUUGUUUUGAAAUUAGAAGUAAAGGAAGUGAGCAAGCAAAGCGAAAUCACCGUAUUAAUACAUUUUUUAAAGUUUUAACGGAACGAUCAAUGAAUUAAUCAAAAAUUAACAAAUAAAAUACGCUACGAUUAAAAUAUGAUGAGUGUCUUUCCUCAACAAUGCGAAGAGAUAAAAAAAAAAACGACCAUGUAUCGCAUUUCUUAAUUAUUCCUUCAACUUUAUCGAGGAAGAAAUGCAAUACGAUGUGGAAAAAAAAAACAAGCAAAAUUUUUAUUACCGGCGAGCUUAUUUUUCCGAGAAGGAAGAGCAGCCUAUUCUCACGGAAACUUGUUUAAUAAAAAAGUUUUGCGGUAAAAUAUGCCAAUGCAGUCGUUCUCCAGACUCCGCGGGGACUUGUCGUAAUCUCAGACGUUCCAUUUUGAUUAUGUAAAUUCGAACCUCGAUUGUACUGGACAGCGAAGCGAAGAAAUUAAAAAAAAAAAGGGAAAGAAUUCGAUCGACGGCUCCAUUCUCGAGUCGAAACAAUUGCUCCUCUAUCCAACGAAAAUGGCACAAAUAUAUCGAGACGAUCUUAAACAUAACUGGACUCUUACUGGAGUAAGAAUAUUCCAGGAUGAACGAGACAAUAAUAAUAUGGAAACGUCAAAUUCGAGCAUCACUCCAAGGAUCAUUUACAUGGAGCAAGAAGUAAGAGGAAGAUGAAGUUUCAGGACGUGCAAGUACAUCGAAGACCGGUUCCGUGGCUGUACAGUCGUUAUCCACGGCACAAUGCCCAUUCAGUCGCUUUACCGGCAUGAAAACGUACCGAUCGAGCAAUGGCCGCCAACCUUCUGUUAUCGAGCAUCCGAUCGAAAAGAAUUCGACGUGACGAAAAAUUCGACUGGCCAGUGGUCAUCAUUUUUAAAAUCUGAAGGGGUGGAUUGAUGGAAUUUUGAAAGUUUUUAUCUUAACGGAUUGAUUAAUUCGUUGGAGUUAUUUACCAAUUUUUGAAAUUGGGAUUUUUUAUUUCGAAUCUUCGUGCGAAAUUUAAAUGUGUAGAACGUACAGAAAAUAAUAACAUUUGAAGAUUAUGGCAUAUUUCUAUGUAUGCAAGCUCGUUAAAGUUUUAUUUUACCCAUAGGAGAAAUGUUUUUUCGUUUUCCAUUAGGGAAACGAGCAAAAUCGAAAAUGAAAUUGUCAACAAUUUUUGGAACAUUUAUAUCAUCGAGUAACAACGUGUUAUUUUCAAUUAUAAUACAUGUGACGAAUUAUCUGUUUUAUGAAAGCUACCUCUUAUGAAAACAAUAUUGAAGGAAGCCAAUAUGACUUAUAAAAAUAUUUAUUUUAUAUAGUUUUAUGUCAGUUUAUAUAACUCAAUAUUGUUCAAUUUGUGACUUAUGGAAUUUAUGGGUAUUUUUUAUAUUAUUUUUCUACGUGUUAUACUUUUAUACAUAUCUAUAUUAUGAUUCAACUGAUGACUACAAUGCUCGAUACUUUAUAUAUUUAUUUUUAGAAAAAGUAUUAUAUAAUUAUAAUUUUUAUUUUAUCGAGCAUUAUUAAUUUUUAAAAUCACACAUAUUAUAAAUAAAAGUCUUCAUAUUUUUUUAAUCGUAGACUAAUUUGAUUUAAAAAAAAAACGUUGCAUGUCUUUCAGAAUUAUCUUAGAGCCUUCUUCAGGAUCCUCUUCAACGUGCCUUGAUGAAAAUCGUCUCUCUGUCGCAAAGAUCGUUUCAUCCUUUCGUUGAAGCUUGAAAAUGAAGUUUGACAAGUUUUACUAAAUUGAAAGUUGUAGGAUCGAUUUCAAGCGUCUAGUUCCAAGGAACCAGAUCCAUACGAAGCAAGGGGAUGAAAAGCAAUUACACUUGUUACUUUUCUUUAGCAUUUACAGUUUUUAUCCUUCUUUGAAGAACUCUUUUGAAAUACACGCAAAUACACGUAAAUACAUCUCUCUUUUCCUUUUUGUUUAUAAACAAAAAAGUAUUUUUUCCGCCUCGAAACAUUGCAUUUUGCAUUUAUAUUUUUUUUUCUUUCUUCGGCUCUUUCUUCGUCCAACUACUUUCUAGAAAGUAGAAAACUUAUUUUGAGCUUCUUUAAGCUCGAUUGAACUUUAAGGCCACACUUUCGAACGUAUCGUUGGAUUAAGUGGGCUAAUUUCGAAACUUUUAUCUUAUGGUCAUGUAUAUCGAUGCUUCGAUAGUUUCAAGACUAGAGCAUGAUCUUAGAUACUGCACGUAUCAUCUGAUUCGUGAUUUUUCGAUAAAUACGAUUUUUUUUUUAUAUUAUAUCAACGUUAAAUUCGAACACGUUUUAGCUAUUUAAAAAAUUUGUAGUCUGAUGAUUUAUAGAUGAUUAAAUUCUUUUACCAAGCUUUUUAA
Long non-coding RNA from Apis cerana (Asiatic honeybee), 3505 nucleotides. RefSeq lists it as uncharacterized. The record is from RefSeq and is a predicted model, not a curated record. NCBI's taxonomy places the organism in Eukaryota, Metazoa, Arthropoda, Insecta, Hymenoptera, Apidae.